This 439-nucleotide ribosomal RNA is filed under the name uncultured bacterium. RNAcentral's name for it is "bacterial SSU rRNA". It matches the Rfam family "Bacterial small subunit ribosomal RNA", at positions 28 to 447 of the family's 1533-position model. The record is from RNAcentral.
GAUGAACGCUGGCGGCGUGCUUAACACAUGCAAGUCGAACGAAGCACUUUACCUGAUUUCCUUCGGGGAUGAUUGUUCUGUGACUGAGUGGCGGACGGGUGAGUAACGCGUGGAUAACCUGCCUCACACAGAGGGAUAACAGUUGGAAACGACUGCUAAUACCGCAUAAGCGCACAGCACCGCAUGGUGCAGUGUGAAAAACUCCGGUGGUGUGAGAUGGAUCCGCGUCUGAUUAGCUGGUUGGCGGGGUAACGGCCCACCAAGGCGACGAUCAGUAGCCGGCCUGAGAGGGCGACCGGCCACAUUGGGACUGAGACACGGCCCAGACUCCUACGGGAGGCAGCAGUGGGGAAUAUUGCACAAUGGGGGAAACCCUGAUGCAGCGACGCCGCGUGAGCGAUGAAGUAUUUCGGUAUGUAAAGCUCUAUCAGCAGGGAAG